GACCGCGUAGCUCAGUUGGCGGAGCAUUGGGCUGGUAUUCCAAAGGUCGUAGGUUCGAUUCCCACCGUGGUCA
This 73-nucleotide transfer RNA is filed under the name Paramuricea clavata. It matches the Rfam family "tRNA". From Rfam's summary of the family: Transfer RNA (tRNA) molecules are approximately 80 nucleotides in length. Their secondary structure includes four short double-helical elements and three loops (D, anti-codon, and T loops). Lineage: Eukaryota; Metazoa; Cnidaria; Anthozoa; Malacalcyonacea; Plexauridae. The record is from Rfam by way of RNAcentral.